CAGCAAUGAAUUCGUCGGUCAGUUGCUGGAGAGGUUCAAUACAUGAAGGUGUGAGCAUGGAGAUAGAGCGCGAUAAGUAAGAGUACCAUUGAAGAAAUUGUCGGCCAGAGAAAGGCUCUGGAGGGUCCGAAUGAGACAGAAUCCAGUAGGGAACCCACCAAAAAUGGAAAACCCAGAUAAAUCAAUUGAAACAACCGAUUGAUUCUGAGAAUCACAAGUAACGCCAGUCCAGUUACAACAGUUAUGGUCAGCACUUUCAACCCAGUCACUAAGCUUUCCAUUGGGGUCAUCAAGCAUAGCAUUCUUGACACGGAUCAAUAUUUCAGAGUCACCAGCGAGAGAGACGACCAAAGAAGAAGAACAUAACGAGACAAAACAAAGAAACAGAAUACAAUUCUUGAAGCUUAUGCUAUUCAUUUGAAGAGUGAAAAAGAAAGCUAAUGAUCAAGGAGCUUAAUAUUGAUG
This 465-nucleotide unclassified non-coding RNA is filed under the name Hevea brasiliensis (rubber tree). Lineage: Eukaryota; Viridiplantae; Streptophyta; Magnoliopsida; Malpighiales; Euphorbiaceae. The record is from RNAcentral.